This 373-nucleotide ribosomal RNA is filed under the name uncultured bacterium. Its description in RNAcentral is "bacterial SSU rRNA". It matches the Rfam family "Bacterial small subunit ribosomal RNA", at positions 527 to 898 of the family's 1533-position model. The record is from RNAcentral.
GGGGGGGGCAAGCGUUGUUCGGAAUUACUGGGCGUAAAGGGCCAGUAGGCGGCCAACUAAGUCCGACGUGAAAUCCCCAGGCUCAACUUGGGAACUGCGUCGGAUACUGGAUGGCUUGAAUUCGGGAGAGGGAUGCAGAAUUCCAGGUGUAGCGGUGAAAUGCGUAGAUAUCUGGAGGAAUACCGGUGGCGAAGGCGGCAUCCUGGACCGACAUUGACGCUGAACGGCGAAAGCUAGGGGAGCAAACGGGAUUAGAUACCCCGGUAGUCCUAGCCCUAAACGAUGAAUGCUUGGUGUAACGGGUAUCGAUCCCUGUUGUGCCGAAGCUAACGCAUUAAGCAUUCCGCCUGGGGAGUACGGUCGCAAGGCUGAA